GGGCUGGGGGCUGGGGGCAGCCCCUGCCCAAUCCUAGCUACUGUGUUUCUGGUGUGCAGCACAAUGCCAGUUUUGCCCGGUCGGCUGGCUCUGGGAUGCAGGGCAGUGCUACUACUUCUCAUCUGCCAAAAAGACCUGGGAGAAAAGCAGAGAGGACUGCUGCUCCAGAGGGGCACAGCUGGUCACCAUCCAAGACAACACUACCCUGGCUUUCCUGAUGCGCACCACGGACAUGGAGGUCUUCCAUGUGGGGCUGAAGAAGGAUGGCUUUGCAUCUGACUGGAAGUGGCUGGAUGGCACCACAUUGAAGGGGAUCUUCCUAAUCCAUCGCUACACCAGGUCUUACCAGGCCUGUGGCAGGCUGUCAGGCUUGGGGCUGUCGGGUGGUCUGUGCUCGGAACCCCUUGGAUGGGUCUGCAAGCAGAGUGCAGCCACCCUGCAGUGGCUCCAGUCCUCGCCUCCUUCCUUCAUCUGGGGAAACACCACCUACAGCUGUGUGAGGCCCUGAUGGCUGUGGGAACCUCCAGCCUGUCCCACCACCAUGUUCCCUGCCUGACUCCAGUUCAUGGGCAUUCGCAGGCACUGACUGCUGCCUCCUGGCUCAGACCUCUUUAUUUCCCUGUAACUGCAUUUUGCCAAUAAACUCUGCCAAAAACUGUG
RNAcentral lists this long non-coding RNA (660 nucleotides) under Manacus vitellinus (golden-collared manakin). RNAcentral describes it as "lncRNA (ENSMVIG00005013465.1)". Lineage: Eukaryota; Metazoa; Chordata; Aves; Passeriformes; Pipridae. The record is from RNAcentral.